GGUGAGAUGGCCGAGCGGUCUAAGGCGCCAGACUAAGGUUCAUAUAUCAGGAUAUGAUUCCGUAAUCUGGUCCUCACGGGCGUGGGUUCGAAUCCCACUCUCAUCA
Molecule: transfer RNA, 106 nt
Organism: Fomitopsis pinicola
Lineage: Eukaryota; Fungi; Basidiomycota; Agaricomycetes; Polyporales; Fomitopsidaceae
Rfam family: tRNA
About the family: Transfer RNA (tRNA) molecules are approximately 80 nucleotides in length. Their secondary structure includes four short double-helical elements and three loops (D, anti-codon, and T loops).
Source: Rfam